AUUGAACGCUGGCGGCAGGCCUAACACAUGCAAGUCGAACGAGUGGCGGACGGGGGAGUAAUGUCUGGGAAACUGCCCGAUGGAGGGGGAUAACUACUGGAAACGGUAGCUAAUACCGCAUACCAUCAGAUGUGCCCAGAUGGGAUGUGCUAGUUGGUGGGGUAACGGCACACCAAGGCGACGCUCCCUAGCUGGUCUGAGAGGAUGACCAGCCACACUGGACCUGAGAGACGGUCCAUACUCCUACGGUAGGCAGCAGUGGGGACUAUUGCACAAGGGGCGCAAGCCUGAUGCAGCCAUGCCGCGUGUAUGAAGAAGGCCUUCGGGUUGUAAAGUACUUUCAGCGGGGAGGCGUUACCCGCAGAAGAAGCACCGGCUAACUCCGUGCCAGCAGCCGCGGUAAUUC
This 406-nucleotide ribosomal RNA is filed under the name uncultured bacterium. RNAcentral's name for it is "partial 16S ribosomal RNA". It matches the Rfam family "Bacterial small subunit ribosomal RNA", at positions 30 to 526 of the family's 1533-position model. The record is from RNAcentral.